Long non-coding RNA from Chelonia mydas (Green sea turtle), 1094 nucleotides. RefSeq lists it as uncharacterized. The transcript is spliced from 2 exons. The record is from RefSeq and is a predicted model, not a curated record. Lineage: Eukaryota; Metazoa; Chordata; Testudines; Cheloniidae.
CAGGGACGGAGCCCGGCGGGAAAGUGAAGAUCGGGGCCUCGUCACCAGCAUCGAUAAAUGUCACCUGACCCCGGUCACAGUCCAGACAAACCCGGAUCCUGCUGGGGGCCCGGCGCCGGGGCAGGAGGGUCACAGGGGAGAGACAGGACCAUGCUGGGGUCAUGGUGGAUGGAGAGAGGAGAAAAGAGACAAGCCCCCAGCGGUGAUCACAGGAGCUUCCUACAUCUUUAUAAUGGAGCCAGGGGAGCCCCUGUCUGUGAUCAAGGCUCAGUUCCUCUGCUUGAGACAGGAGCAAGGGUCUCACACAGACACAGUCCCUGCUCACCCAGUCAGUGUGGGGUCACUGCAGAGCUCCUGGCUUUUUUCACAGGGGAAAAGAUGAAGGAAGAAACAAAGGGACACUGGAGAUCGCACAUCAGAACAGGGAGACAGAACAAACUCCCCCUGGAGACGUGGCUGUGGAGGUGCACGUCCCACUGGUUCUGUACAAGGGGUGGCAGCGGCUGUCACAGAUCUCUGCAGGGUGCAGUGCACAUGCCAGCGGUGGAGGGGCAGGAAGCGUAGGUGCAAUAUGCUAUGGAUUCAUUAUGGUGUGAUAGGACAUAGGCACAAACCCCACCUCACCUUGUGACGCGCUGUGAAAUGAAGGGUGCUGGGUAGGUCUGCCCUGAACUAUCACGUCCACUCCCAUAUACAAAGAAAAAGGGGCACAUUGCCUCAUGGGAACGGAUAUUUGGACAUUGAUAAAAUAUGAUCUUUAAUUACCUUCUUCUAUAGGUGCCACGGAUCUUCUCCACCCUAAAACCAGCAACAUAAUUAGAGAGGAGAGCAGAUCUGAACACGUAUUGCAUAAUCCAAUAUUGUACAAACUAAUACACUGAGGGAAAAAGAAAGUUAUAAGUUCAUCAGAACCUCCACUGGACUGCAUGUGUGUGUCUCUCCCAGGGUGGAUCUUCACUGCAGAGUUAGCCAAAAUCUUACCUGGCCGUUGCCCCAACCUGUUUAAUGCGCAAGCACAAAAACUCUGACUCAAGUUUGGUGGUGCUUUGCACCCAGGUUAGCUGGCAAGACAUUGGGUAGAAGCUAGAGCCCAG